GGGGGUGUAGCGAAGCGGUUAACGCGUCUCAUCCGCAAUGAGAAGAUCCUGAGUUCAAAUCUUAGCUCCUCCA
This is a transfer RNA of 73 nucleotides. It matches the Rfam family "tRNA". Rfam says of the family: Transfer RNA (tRNA) molecules are approximately 80 nucleotides in length. Their secondary structure includes four short double-helical elements and three loops (D, anti-codon, and T loops). The record is from Rfam.